GACGAACGCUGGCGGCGUGCUUAACACAUGCAAGUCGAACGGAAAGGCCCUGCUUUUGUGGGGUGCCCGAGUGGCGAACGGGUGAGUAACCCGUGAGUAACCUGCCCUUGACUUUGGGAUAACUUCAGGCAACUGGGGCUACUACCGGAUAGGAGCUCCUGCUGCUUGGUGGGGGUUGGAACGUUUCGGCGGUUGGGGCUGGACUCGCGGCUUAUCAGCUGGUUGGUGGGGUAGUGGCUUACCAAGGCAUUGGAGGGUAGCCGGCCUGAGAGGGUGAACGGGGUCAUGGGGACUGCGAUACGGAGCAGUGUGGUACGUGAGGCAGCAGGCGGGAAUAUGAUACAAUGAUGGCAAGCGUGUUGCAGAGGCGCCGCGUGCGGGAAGACGGCCUUCUGGUUGUGAACCGCUUUAGCCUGUGACGAAGCGUGAGUGACGGUAAUGGGUGAAGAAGCACCGGCUAACUACGUG
Molecule: ribosomal RNA, 468 nt
Filed under: uncultured bacterium
Lineage: Bacteria
Description: partial 16S ribosomal RNA
Rfam family: Bacterial small subunit ribosomal RNA
Source: RNAcentral